Molecule: long non-coding RNA, 7893 nt
Filed under: Lotus japonicus
Lineage: Eukaryota; Viridiplantae; Streptophyta; Magnoliopsida; Fabales; Fabaceae
Description: long non-coding RNA (LJAP_LNC001615)
Source: RNAcentral
GGAGUGGUUUGCUACUUGUAGUUUCUUAUAGGUGAUAAUAACUUUGUCAUAGUUCUCCUGUUAGUGCAGAUUCAUUGUUGAUAAUCAUUUUGUAAAUUAUUUUAGCGUUAUUUCCUCCUUGUAAAUUAUGACGCACGUGGAACUUUCUGAACCUAUCUAUACCCACGCUUAGAUUCAUUUAAUUCAACCAGAUACUAUAUUCUUUAGGGUAUAAGCGCUAUAAGAUUUCAAUACUUGCCCUUCCGUGUAAUAAAUCAUGAUCUUGAUAUUCAUUGAUGUUUUUUUGGGAUUAAUUUCAUUCCUAGUCUCUACUCUUUACUAUGGUUAUUAAUCUCAUUUUGAGUCCUAAAUCAUUUUAUUUGAAUUUUUCUCUUAAAUUGUCUAACUAUUGAAAUUCAUUCCAUUAAAACUAUUUCACCUUAGACCCUUAUUUCUUCACGAAAGUAUUAUAAAUUAAAUUAUGUACAUCAUUCCGAAGCAUCUUUUAUUCAAAACCUAAAAAGUGAAAUUAGAUUCCAUUAAAAAUAAUUAAAAACCUAAUUCCCCUUCCCCUCUUAAAACCCUAAUCUCAUGUUAAGAAAUCUUUUAUAUGAUUUCAACAAAUGUUUCAAAAUUUAAGCAUUCAAAUAUUAUCUUAAAUCAUUCUAAAUCUUUCCAAUUGCAUUCUAAUAAUUAAAAUUUAUAUUAUAGACAACGGGUAGCAUCAAUGUAUUUUUUUUCGAGAACAUUUAACUAGAGAAGAGUCUAAGAUAAUUUUUAAAGGGUUAUUUCAAAUUUCUCAAACCCUUGGUCAUUUCUUAAAAAAAAAAAAACUCUCAAACAAGAAGAGAGCUUCUAAAAAUCUCAUUUUCCCUCAUCUCCCCUUCAAAGCCCUACUCACAAACAUAUGCUAAAGAAAUUUAUGUAAUUCGACCGAACAAAUUUCUCUUUAAAUAGUUCCUUUUGAAAAUGAUUUGGUGAGGUGUGCAAUUUCAUAAACUUGAAAAUUGUGAGAAAAAAAAGGUUUAAAUUUUGAUUUUUUUACGGAUUUAAAUUUUAUAUUGUUAUGAGCUAUAUCACCGCAUCUUUAUUAGUAAGAAAUGAAGUGGAUGAAAAAAAAUCAAAAUAAAUGAAUGAGAAAGGAGGAGGGACAUAGACACAAGCCAAACUUGACUCAUUUUUACUUGUAUGAAAGUCAAUUCUAUAUCUAAAUUGAAUCAUGUACCCAAACAAUCUAAAUUAAAGUUUUAGUUGGAUUUUUUAACCUUUUUUUUAUUUUUGGCAUUUUUUUGUUUUUUUGUUUAUUUUAUUUUCAUAAUUUUAUAGUUUAGUUUUUUUUUUUAAAUGUAUUAGUAAAAUAGAAUAUUCCAUGUUGGAGGGACUUGCAUAAUUAUCAUUAUUGCCGCGAGGAAGGAUUUUGGAUUGCUGAUCAUUUAUUUGUGAAGGAAUUUCAUGGAAUGUUGGCUGUACUGUGCAUACUUUAAAGGGAUCAUGGAAUGUUGCUGGGUCUUGGUUGUGGCAAAUCUGGUGGCAUUGGUGCGUACAGUGGAAUUGCACUAAUUUUAGCUUUUGUGCUUCUUGUGUAUUGUACUCCUUGGAGAUUACCACUUGGUUAUAGAUUUUUAGUACUCUUUUUCCUUCAUCAGGUUUUCUCAAGAGGGUUUUUCCUGGUAAGGUUUUAAUAAAAACCUGAUCUCUAUAAUCUUUCUCGUAGGAGGUGGUGGGUUCAUCUAUUAGUGGGGAUCAUUACUUUGUUUCUGUAAAUUACUACAUUGUACUUCUCUUUUCAUUCUUUCUUCUUGUAUUGGGUUAAAGUACCUCUUGUACUUGCUUGUCAAAAAAAAAAAAAAAAAACCUCUUGUACUUCACUUCAAUAUAUUUCAUUUUCUUAUCAACAAAAAAUCAUACUAAUAUAGUAGUUUCUAUUUCCUAGGUUGUUCUUUGGGUCAAACCCUUCCAACUUAUCAAAUUAAAAAGUUAUAGAAAUAAGACUUUUUCUUUUUAAAAUAACUCAAUUUUAAUCCAUCUAAAUUAUUAUUUUCUCUUGAAAAAUAUGAAGACAAUAUUUAUGUAAAUUAUUUUCUGCUCAAGUUAACUAGUGGCGGAUCAUCUUCAAGCCUUUUGCAUGCACUCAGGUUUAAAGAUAAAUAUUUCCAAGUCUAAGGCCAUUACUUCCAAGGGUGUUAGAGUGGAGAUUCGUGACGAGAUUCAGACCAUCGCUCCUAUCCCUUUUGUCUGUGAUCUAGGGCGUUACUUGGGUUUUCCCCUAACAGGAGGAAGAUCCUCCAGAGCGGCGGUGGGGUAGCUGCCGUUAACGUGUUUAGCAGCAAGAUCCGAGGGGGGAACGGCGAAAGGGUCAAUGGGUUUUGAAUGGUGGUUAGAUGAUGGAGUGGGUUGAUUUAGAAACGACGCGAACUUGAAGUCACCGAAGGUCUCAUCAUCUUCCUUUGACCCUUUCUUCAAAUUCUAUUCCACCACCCCAGAAACCCCAACCCAUAACCCCCAAUCUAGAGAAAUCAGAAAACGAAAACCCUAACCUAAGACUCUCAAUCCAGAGAUUUUCAAUUGAUUGAGUGUGAAAAAAGAAGAAGAUGUACACUGAAGUUGAUGAAGAAUGAUGAUGAUGAUUCAUAAAGAUGUGAAAGUAGAAAAAGAAGAAGAAGGGUGAAGAAGAACGGUGAGAAUGAUGAUGUUGAAUUGGUUUUAUUUAGAUGUGUCAAUUAGAUUAGUUUAUUAGGAAUUAGGAUGAAGGGUUUUAAUUAGUUUAAUUAUGAUUUAUGAGUUAUUUUUGUAAUAAAAAAAUUAUGGGUUUUUCUUUAUAGAAUUUAAAUGAAAAAGAUAAAACAAAAGCCACCUAGGACGUCAUUAAUUGAUGUGGCAAGUUCCACAUCAGCUGGCGGAGCUCCGGCAUUGGCCAAUCGGUCGGAAGGACCAAAACCAAUCAUUUUGCCAAAACGGGGGACCAACUCCCACCUUUACUCCAGCGAGGGACUAAAGCCAUAUUUAUGACAAAGGUUGGGGACCAAAAACUGGAUUAAGCCUUAUUUUUAUUACAAAAGGAAAGUUCUCUCUUUAUAAAUUUAAUCAAAUUAAUAUUUUUUUCAGAAAACAUAUAAUAUUAUUAUUUUAUCUAGUUUCGUGAUUGCAUUUUCAAAAUAUUAACAAUUUAACAUGCUUUACUUUAUUAGUCAUUAUACAGGUCUAACGUCUAAAUGAGUUUUACUAGAAUUGUAAUAGACAUUUUCAAUUUCUUGGACGGAAUCAGAGAAUUAAUACAUGAAAUAACUAAACCAUAGGUCCCUUAAAUCACCAAAAUGUAGUCAAUGAAAUUAAUUUUCACAAUGCAAGAUUUGAAUGUCAAGGAAAAGGAAUUUUGAAGGAAAGUGGUAUGAUGACAUUAAUAACGGCUGAAGAUUUAGAUGAUGCAGCUCACAAAGCAGUGAAAGCAGCUUACAAAUGAAGAGUUUACUUCUGUUCAUCAAAUUCCAAAAUCACUUUAAUUACACAUGGUUAAUAUUAUCAAAGCCGCAGUGGUUAUCAAAGCAUUUCCAAUAAGUUAAUGCUUUUCAAAUUAUGUUGAUGCAUGCACAUGGUUAAUAUUUGGUUCUCUUUGCACUUCAAGAUACCGACCCCUUUCUGGUUCCAAAAAAGAAACAUUUGAAUGUCAUUAGUGCUCAUUACAAUUUUCCUGCAUGGAAUGGUGUUUCAUCCAGUAUAUAUAAUAAGUUACCAUUCACCAUUUUUCACAUCAAAAGUACAUUCCAGCUUCAAAAUCACCUCAGAGAAAUUUUUCCCCACCAAGAUGAAAGGUCUAUUUUCUGUGAUUUUUAUGUUGUUUGUUGCUGCUACACCUAGCUUGUAUGCUAGAGUAACACCCAAUGCAGGAUCUAGCAGCUUCAAUAUUGUAAACUAUGGGGCAAAGGGGGAUGGGCAAACUGAUGAUUCACAAGUAUAUAUGUUUUUACUUUUUACUAUUCUCAUAUAUUAUUUGAUAUAAUAAAGUUUUACAUUUUUAUUAUUUAGUUUUUCAAAUUGAAUCUGACACCAUUCUAAUUAAACUUUCCAAGGCUUUUGAGAAAGCAUGGCAUGAUAUGUGUAGUGCAACUGAAGGCACCCCAACUCUUCUCAUACCGAACGGAAAAUCAUUCAUGUUACAACCUGUGUUAUUCAAGGGUCCUUGCAAAAUUAACAGUAUUAAUAUUGAGGUAAAUGAAUAUGAACCAUGUUUUACUAGCUACUAACAAUUAGUGAUGUUUAUAAUAUACUCCUUAUAUUCUCAUUUGUUAUUAAUCUCAUAUUCUCAUAUGAAGCGGAAUUUCAAGCAGGUCGUGGUUUCUUUACUGCUUCAUGUUGUUUUUAUUCUGUUUUUCCCUAUUGCUGUCAUUAUGUUUUCAUGUCUCUUGUUGCUUUCUUUUUCUUUUGAUCUCUUCUCAUUUCUCAUUUAUAUUUGGAUUAGCACCCUUGUGCUAUAUUUAAAUGCAAUGUCAUAUAUCUAUAUAUAUAUAUAUAAUAGUUCAUAAAGUUAAAAAAAGUUUCUUAGCCCACAAUAAAUCAAGUCUUAUAUCAUAUAUAUUGUUUUGUUUGGCAGCUUCAGGGCACUCUUGUUGCCCCUCAAAGUGCUGAUGCUUGGAAAUGGCCAGAUAAUAAUAGGGGAGGAUGGAUAAAAUUCUCAGACAUAAAUGGCCUUGUUAUUAGCGGAGGAGGAACAUUCGAUGGACAAGGUGCUGCAUGGUGGACCAAGUACCCUAAAUACUCUGAUAGGCCAAGUGUAAGUACUUGAAAAACAUGUAACCCCAUAAUUAAUUUUCUUUUUCUUUAAAAAUAUGCUGAAUGUAUCAAACCUUCAAUUAACUCAUCAUAAAACAUAUAUUUAUUAAGGACUCUUCUUUCUAUAAAUCAACUUUAUCAAAAAAAAAAACUAAAAUAUUAUGUUAAUACGACUAAUUAACUAUGAAAAUGAUUGACGUGUGCAGGCCCUUCAGUUCAUUGGCUGUAAGAAUCUAGCACUUAGCGCGACGAAUCACAUCAACAGCCCAAGAAAUCACAUAAGCAUAGAUUCUUGCAGUUACUCUAGCAUUUCCAACAUUCAUAUUAAUUCCCCGGAGGGAAGUCCUAACACUGAUGGGAUUGAUAUGUCAAAAUCAUCUAACAUCCUCAUUAAGGAUUCUACAAUUCAAAGUGGUAAUUAAUUCAUACAUUAUACUCUUCACUUCAUUUUUCUAUCCUACACCAUUACUAUUUAAUUUCAUACUAUUACCCUAUAUUUAAAUUGAUGUUUAGAAAGCUUAAAAACAAAACAAAUUAAACAUGAUUUGUUUCUUUUCCUUAAUUAAUAAUUUUUAUACAUACAGGAGACGACUGCAUUGCCAUCAAUAAUGGUUGCUCUUUCCUAAACAUAACUGGUAUUACUUGUGGUCCUGGCCAUGGCAUCAGGUCAAUCCCCUUACUGUUGAGAUUAUGUUAUUGAUAUCCUUGACUAAAAUUUAAACUCACUUUGGAUUGUGUUGUGGAUCUUUAGUGUUGGGAGCCUUGGGAAAGAUGGAAAGUUUGAGACAGUAGAAGAGGUACAUGUGAGAAAUUGCAUCUUCCAAGGAACAAAAAAUGGAGCUAGGAUCAAGACAUGGCAGGUAACAAAUCGACUAUAAUUCCAUUGAAAUUCAAACAUUAUCGUUUUGAUUUGUCAAAAAAGGGUAGUUGGCUCUAGUAUUAGAUGAACUGCUAUAUAUAAAGAAACAAGUGAUUAAAUCUCAAUCAUUUUAUGUGUUUUUAAUUAGGGAGGAUCCGGGUAUGCCAGAAAGAUAACAUUUGAAAAUAUUAUACUCAAUGGAGCAAAGAACCCUAUCAUCAUUGACCAAAAUUAUAAGGAUUUUCAACAUAAUGGUCCUGCAGUGAAAGUGAGUGAUGUUACUUACCGUAACAUCACAGGAACCACAGUUUCCAUGGAGGCAAUCUCAUUGAAUUGUGACCCCGUUGGCUGCACCGACAUUGUAUUAGAUCAUAUUGACAUAACCUUUGCAUCCGCAGGGAAAAGUGCACAGUCAUUGUGUAAAAACGUUAAUGGGACAUUCACUUCAUGUAUUCCAAUUGUUAACUGUUCUUGAGUUGAGACUAGCUGAUUAGGGUUUCGAAGUAGUUAGUAAGACCCAAUGCAUUUUGCUGUGUUUACAUCUCUUGUACUAAGUUAAGUUGCAUUGGAUUCUACAUUUCUAUAGUCCAGAAGAAUCAGCUUUGUACUUUUGGGCUAUUGGUCCCGUUUCAAUAAAAUCCUUGAUUUAGUGCCAAAAGAAAUAAAGAUAUCCUUGACAAGUUGCACCUUUCAAGUUUCAAGUUCUAGACAUUGAAACUUCUUAUUAAGAAUUAAUGUUGCUAGAUAACUUAUUCAUGUGUUUGAUUAUUGAUUAUUGAUAUGUUAAACUUUUAAUUAUUGUUUAACUAGUAAAUCUCUAACGUGCGGAUGUAUUUAGUAAACUUUUCCCCUUUCAAUUUUUCACUUCAAAUCGUUUUUCAUACGCAUGACUCAAGGAUCAAACCUAUCAAACUUUUUUGAUAAUUUGUUGAUAAUGGGAACUAAUUGGUUAAGGAGUUGUGGUCGAGUUUUUUUUUUUUUUUUUUGUUUACAAGUGGGAAUGCAUAUUAUAUCCAUAUUGUGAUUGAGACACUAUAUAAUAUACAAAAUACAAAAAACAUUUAAUAUGUGUGCCUCAAAAUUGAAAAGGACGAAAAGAUAGAGUCACUUUUUCGUGAUGAGGUAUUAUUGGCUAUAUAUAUAUAUAUAUAGUUGAAAGAGAGGUGCGUAUCAUAGGAUUGUUUCUGAUUCUCAAGAAACAAAGAAAUGUCACGAGAAACCGUGUACGUGCAGCAGUGUAAGGGCGUUAAUGUCCUGGACAAGAUCAUUCUCAGGGAAGUUCGUGGUUUCUCUUGCGAGGUAUAAUAUUAUUCUCAUUCUCAUUCUCAAAACGCGAUUUCAAUUUCAAUGAUAAUUCCAUUCUUUGCAGAGUAGUCAUCGAAUGUUGAACUUUUUCCCAUGAUCACAAAUACCAUUGAACUUAGCAAGGAAAUAAGUUGAAUUGUGAAUGCAACAAGUUUGCUUUCUGUGUUACCUGUCUAGAGAUAUCUUUCUUUCUCUUGCUUUUUUUAUUACGAAAAUUUUAGUUACUUGAAUGACUUUGUAUCUGCUUUUCCUUGAAUUACUUUAAAGGAAACAUUGGUUAUGCAUUACUGCAGCUUGAAGCAGCUCACGAUAGGGAGAAAGAGUUACUUCAUGAGAUAACUGAACUGCAGUGGAGGUAUUGUAUUAUAAAAUAUAUCUGGAUUAUAUGGUAAAAUAUGAGUGUCUUGAACCUUGCUUUGUCACAUAUAGGCUCUUAUGUACCCAGGAUGAGCUUCAAAAAUUAAAAACAGAAAACGCCCAGGUAUCAACAUUUACUUUCCCUGAUAAUUCUAAGAUCUGUUUUGGAUUAUGGAUUUGACAUUCUAACUUGUAAAUCUUAGGUGUGAUUGUCUUUUUGGAAUCGACACUUGGAUUUGGAUUUCAGAAGUGAUUCCGUUGUUGAAUGCUUGGAUUUCUCAAAUUUAAAUUCUUCAUGGACACCUAAAACAUUUAGGUGCAAGAAGAGAGGAGAAUUUUAACCAGUACUAAUUCAUUGACUAGAUACGGAGUGGUUUGCUACUUGUAGUUUCUUAUAGGUGAUAAUAACUUUGUCAUAGUUCUCCUGUUAGUGCAGAUUCAUUGUUGAUAAUCAUUUUGUAAAUUAUUUUAGCGUUAUUUCCUCCUUGUAAAUUAUGACGCACGUGGAACUUUCUGAACCUAUCUAUACCCACGCUUAGAUUCAUUUAAUUCAACCAGAUACUAUAUUCUUUAGGGUAUAAGCGCUAUAAGAUUUCAAUACUUGCCCUUCCGUGUAAUAAAUCAUG